RNAcentral lists this ribosomal RNA (573 nucleotides) under Triticum aestivum (bread wheat). Its description in RNAcentral is "partial small subunit ribosomal RNA". Lineage: Eukaryota; Viridiplantae; Streptophyta; Magnoliopsida; Poales; Poaceae. The record is from RNAcentral.
AUGGGGUCGUCGCCGGACCAGAUGCAGUUCUUCUCCGUCCUGCUCAAGCUGAUGGGCGCCAGGAGCACGAUCGAGGUCGGCGUCUUCACCGGCUACUCGCUGCUCUCCACCGCGCUCGCCCUCCCCGCCGGCGGCAAGGUGGUGGCGAUCGACGUGAGCCGGGAGUGCUACGAGCUGGGCCGCCCGGUGAUCGAGGCGGCCGGCGUCGCGCACAAGGUGGACUUCCGCGAGGGCGACGGGCUCGCCGUGCUCGACGGGAUGCUGUGCGAGGACGGCGGCGCCAGGGCUGGCGCCUUCGACUUCGCGUACGCGGACGCCGACAAGCUGCAGUACGCCGGGUACCACGAGCGGCUGCUGCGGCUGGUGCGCGUCGGCGGCGUCAUCGCCUACGACAACACGCUCUGGGGCGGCUCCGUGGUCAUGCCCCGCGACAUGCCCGGCAGCUCCGACUACGACCGCCUCGUGCGGGAUAGCUUCCUCCGGUUCAACGCCGCCGUAGCCGCCGAUGACCGCGUCGAGGCCUGCAUCCUCCCCAUCGCCGACGGCGUCACGCUCUGCCGCCGCGUCAAGUGA